CCAGCACCUGCGGUAAUUCCAGCUCCAAUAGCGUAUAUUAAAGUUGUUGCAGUUAAAAAGCUCGUAGUCGGACUUCUGGCCGUGUCGGACGGUCCGCCGCAAGGUGUGCACUGUUCGGGGCGGCCAUCCUCUUGAGGACCGCGUGUGCCCUUUACUGGGUGGGCGCGGGACUCAGGACCUUUACUUUGAAAAAAUUAGAGUGUUCAAAGCAGGCUUACGCUUGAAUACAUUAGCAUGGAAUAAUAAUAUAGGACUUCGGUUCUAUUUUAUUGGUUCUGGACCGAAGUAAUGAUUAAUAGGGACAGUCGGGGGCAUUCGUACUCAACAGUCAGAGGUGAAAUUCUUGGAUUUGUUGGAGACGAACUACUGCGAAAGCAUUUGCCAAGGAUGUUUUCAUUGAUCAAGAACGAAAGU
RNAcentral lists this ribosomal RNA (414 nucleotides) under uncultured eukaryote. RNAcentral's name for it is "SSU rRNA". It matches the Rfam family "Eukaryotic small subunit ribosomal RNA", at positions 567 to 990 of the family's 1831-position model. The record is from RNAcentral.